CCUACGGGUGGCAGCAGUGGGGGAUAUUGCACAAUGGGGGAAACCCUGAUGCAGCGACGCCGCGUGGGCGAAGAAGUAUUUCGGUAUGUAAAGCCCUAUCAGCAGGGAAGAAGAAAUGACGGUACCUGAGUAAGAAGCACCGGCUAAAUACGUGACAGCAGCCGCGGUAAUACGUAUGGUGCAAGCGUUAUCCGGAUUUACUGGGUGUAAAGGGAGCGCAGGCGGCACGGCAAGCCUGAUGUGAAAGCCCGCGGCCCAACCGCGGGACUGCAUUGGGAACUGUGUUGCUGGAGUGCAGGAGGGGUAAGCGGAAUGCCUAGUGUAGCGGUGAAAUGCGUAGAUAUUAGGAGGAACACCGGUGGCGAAGGCGGCUUACUGGACUGUAACUGACGUUGAGGCUCGAAGGCGUGGGGAGCAAACAGGAUUAGAUACCCCAGUAGUC
Molecule: ribosomal RNA, 442 nt
Filed under: uncultured bacterium
Lineage: Bacteria
Description: partial 16S ribosomal RNA
Rfam family: Bacterial small subunit ribosomal RNA
Source: RNAcentral